This 441-nucleotide ribosomal RNA is filed under the name Listeria monocytogenes. RNAcentral's name for it is "bacterial SSU rRNA". It matches the Rfam family "Bacterial small subunit ribosomal RNA", at positions 200 to 628 of the family's 1533-position model. Lineage: Bacteria; Bacillati; Bacillota; Bacilli; Caryophanales; Listeriaceae. The record is from RNAcentral.
UUGAAAGAUGGUUUCGGCUAUCGCUUACAGAUGGGCCCGCGGUGCAUUAGCUAGUUGGUAGGGUAAUGGCCUACCAAGGCAACGAUGCAUAGCCGACCUGAGAGGGUGAUCGGCCACACUGGGACUGAGACACGGCCCAGACUCCUACGGGAGGCAGCAGUAGGGAAUCUUCCGCAAUGGACGAAAGUCUGACGGAGCAACGCCGCGUGUAUGAAGAAGGUUUUCGGAUCGUAAAGUACUGUUGUUAGAGAAGAACAAGGAUAAGAGUAACUGCUUGUCCCUUGACGGUAUCUAACCAGAAAGCCACGGCUAACUACGUGCCAGCAGCCGCGGUAAUACGUAGGUGGCAAGCGUUGUCCGGAUUUAUUGGGCGUAAAGCGCGCGCAGGCGGUCUUUUAAGUCUGAUGUGAAAGCCCCCGGCUUAACCGGGGAGGGUCAUUG